RNAcentral lists this ribosomal RNA (497 nucleotides) under uncultured bacterium. Its description in RNAcentral is "partial 16S ribosomal RNA". It matches the Rfam family "Bacterial small subunit ribosomal RNA", at positions 28 to 507 of the family's 1533-position model. The record is from RNAcentral.
GAUGAACGCUGGCGGCGUGCCUAAUACAUGCAAGUCGAGCGAACAGACGAGGAGCUUGCUCCUCUGACGUUAGCGGCGGACGGGUGAGUAACACGUGGAUAACCUACCUAUAAGACUGGGAUAACUUCGGGAAACCGGAGCUAAUACCGGAUAAUAUAUUGAACCGCAUGGUUCAAUAGUGAAAGACGGUUUUGCUGUAACUUAUAGAUGGAUCCGCGCCGCAUUAGCUAGUUGGUAAGGUAACGGCUUACCAAGGCGACGAUGCGUAGCCGACCUGAGAGGGUGAUCGGCCACACUGGAACUGAGACACGGUCCAGACUCCUACGGGAGGCAGCAGUAGGGAAUCUUCCGCAAUGGGCGAAAGCCUGACGGAGCAACGCCGCGUGAGUGAUGAAGGUCUUCGGAUCGUAAAACUCUGUUAUUAGGGAAGAACAAAUGUGUAAGUAACUAUGCACGUCUUGACGGUACCUAAUCAGAAAGCCACGGCUAACUACGUG